GGGGAUUUAGCUCAGUGGUAGAGCGCUUGCCUAGCAAGUGCAGGGCCCUGGGUUCAGUCCCCA
Rattus norvegicus (Norway rat) is the source of this 63-nucleotide non-coding RNA. Lineage: Eukaryota; Metazoa; Chordata; Mammalia; Rodentia; Muridae. The record is from Rfam.